This 252-nucleotide ribosomal RNA is filed under the name uncultured bacterium. Its description in RNAcentral is "partial 16S ribosomal RNA". It matches the Rfam family "Bacterial small subunit ribosomal RNA", at positions 524 to 776 of the family's 1533-position model. The record is from RNAcentral.
UACGUAUGGUGCAAGCGUUAUCCGGACUUAUUGGGUUUAAAGGGUGCGUAGGCGGAUCGUUAAGUCAGUGGUCAAAUUGAGGGGCUCAACCCCUUCCCGCCAUUGAAACUGGCGAUCUUGAGUGGAAGAGAAGUAUGCGGAAUGCGUGGUGUAGCGGUGAAAUGCAUAGAUAUCACGCAGAACCCCGAUUGCGAAGGCAGCAUGCCGGCUUCCGACUGACGCUGAAGCACGAAAGCGUGGGGAUCGAACAGG